Molecule: ribosomal RNA, 465 nt
Filed under: uncultured bacterium
Lineage: Bacteria
Description: partial 16S ribosomal RNA
Rfam family: Bacterial small subunit ribosomal RNA
Source: RNAcentral
CCUACGGGUGGCAGCCGUGGGGAAUAUUGCGCAAUGGGCGAAAGCCUGACGCAGCGACGCCGCGUGAGGGAUGAAGGUCUUCGGAUCGUAAACCUCUGUCAGCAGGGAAGAACGGUCACUGUGCUAAUCAGCAGUGAAUUGACGGUACCUGCAACGGAAGCACCGGCUAACUCCGUGCCAACAGCCGCGGUAAUACGGAGGGUGCGAGCGUUAAUCGGAAUUAAUGGGCGUAAAGCGCGCGUAGGCGGCAUGUCAAGUCAAGGGUGAAAUCCCCGCGCUCAACGUGGGAACUGCCUUUGAAACUGGCAAACUGGAGUGUGUGAGAGGAUAGCGGAAUUCCAGGUGUAGGAGUGAAAUGCGUAGAUAUCUGGAGGAACAUCAGUGGCGAAGGCGACUAUCUGGCACAUAACUGACGCUGAGGAGCGAAAGCGUGGGUAGCAAACAGGAUUAGAUACCCCAGUAGUC